GCAACAUGAUGAAACAUUUCCUACAUUCGCAGUUUCCACGCUAGCCAUCAACCUGAACCUUAGACCGAUGGACAAUGAGCGCGAAUACCUUCCUUGGAUGUCUGAUUGC
Molecule: small nucleolar RNA, 109 nt
Filed under: Plenodomus lingam JN3
Lineage: Eukaryota; Fungi; Ascomycota; Dothideomycetes; Pleosporales; Leptosphaeriaceae
Description: small nucleolar RNA SNORD14
Rfam family: Small nucleolar RNA SNORD14
About the family: U14 small nucleolar RNA (U14 snoRNA) is required for early cleavages of eukaryotic precursor rRNAs. In yeasts, this molecule possess a stem-loop region (known as the Y-domain) which is essential for function.
Source: Rfam by way of RNAcentral